Molecule: ribosomal RNA, 462 nt
Filed under: Shigella flexneri
Lineage: Bacteria; Pseudomonadati; Pseudomonadota; Gammaproteobacteria; Enterobacterales; Enterobacteriaceae
Description: partial 23S ribosomal RNA
Rfam family: Bacterial large subunit ribosomal RNA
Source: RNAcentral
CAGGUGCGAAAGCAGGUCAUAGUGAUCCGGUGGUUCUGAAUGGAAGGGCCAUCGCUCAACGGAUAAAAGGUACUCCGGGGAUAACAGGCUGAUACCGCCCAAGAGUUCAUAUCGACGGCGGUGUUUGGCACCUCGAUGUCGGCUCAUCACAUCCUGGGGCUGAAGUAGGUCCCAAGGGUAUGGCUGUUCGCCAUUUAAAGUGGUACGCGAGCUGGGUUUAGAACGUCGUGAGACAGUUCGGUCCCUAUCUGCCGUGGGCGCUGGAGAACUGAGGGGGGCUGCUCCUAGUACGAGAGGACCGGAGUGGACGCAUCACUGGUGUUCGGGUUGUCAUGCCAAUGGCACUGCCCGGUAGCUAAAUGCGGAAGAGAUAAGUGCUGAAAGCAUCUAAGCACGAAACUUGCCCCGAGAUGAGUUCUCCCUGACCCUUUAAGGGUCCUGAAGGAACGUUGAAGACGACGA